This 253-nucleotide ribosomal RNA is filed under the name uncultured bacterium. Its description in RNAcentral is "partial 16S ribosomal RNA". It matches the Rfam family "Bacterial small subunit ribosomal RNA", at positions 524 to 776 of the family's 1533-position model. The record is from RNAcentral.
GACGGAGGUUGCAAGCGUUGUUCGGAAUAACUGGGCGUAAAGGGGGCGCAGGCGGUUUGGUAAGUCUGAGGUGAAAUCCCGGAGCUCAACUCCGGAAAUGCCCUGGAUACUGCCAAACUUGAGUAUGCCAGAGGAGAGUGGAAUUCCUGGUGUAGCGGUGAAAUGCGUAGAUAUCAGGAGGAACACCGGUGGCGAAAGCGGCUCUCUGGGACAUUACUGACGCUGAGGCCCGAAAGCGUGGGGAGCGAACAGG